AUCUGUUUCUAAACAUUCUCUAAUAAAAUUUAAAUCUGUUCUUAUCAGUUUAAUCUCUGAUAUGUCCUUUAUAUAAAGACUGUAUAUAAGGACUAUGUAACUAAACUGAUUCCUGAAAUCGGGGGCUAGACCAGGAGCUUGCUCUCUUACCCCAUGCAUCAACCUGGUAUUGCAGUGCUUCCAGGAACGGUGCAUCACUU
This 200-nucleotide small nuclear RNA is filed under the name Chelydra serpentina (North American snapping turtle). Its description in RNAcentral is "U2 spliceosomal RNA (ENSCSRG00000009635.1)". It matches the Rfam family "U2 spliceosomal RNA". Rfam says of the family: U2 is a small nuclear RNA (snRNA) component of the spliceosome (involved in pre-mRNA splicing). Complementary binding between U2 snRNA (in an area lying towards the 5' end but 3' to hairpin I) and the branchpoint sequence (BPS) of the intron results the bulging out of an unpaired adenosine, on the BPS, which initiates a nucleophilic attack at the intronic 5' splice site, thus starting the first of two transesterification reactions that mediate splicing. The record is from Rfam by way of RNAcentral. Lineage: Eukaryota; Metazoa; Chordata; Testudines; Chelydridae.